RNAcentral lists this ribosomal RNA (253 nucleotides) under Phocaeicola coprocola DSM 17136. Its description in RNAcentral is "partial 16S ribosomal RNA". It matches the Rfam family "Bacterial small subunit ribosomal RNA", at positions 524 to 776 of the family's 1533-position model. The record is from RNAcentral. Lineage: Bacteria; Pseudomonadati; Bacteroidota; Bacteroidia; Bacteroidales; Bacteroidaceae.
UACGGAGGAUGCGAGCGUUAUCCGGAUUUAUUGGGUUUAAAGGGAGCGCAGACGGGAGAUUAAGUCAGUUGUGAAAGUUUGCGGCUCAACCGUAAAAUUGCAGUUGAUACUGGUUCCCUUGAGUGCAGUUGAGGCAGGCGGAAUUCGUGGUGUAGCGGUGAAAUGCUUAGAUAUCACGAAGAACCCCGAUUGCGAAGGCAGCUUGCUAAACUGUAACUGACGUUCAUGCUCGAAAGUGUGGGUAUCAAACAGG